CGGGCUUGCUCUGCUGGGGGCGAGAGGAGGGCGGGAGGGACUCCUUUCUUUCACAUGAAGCCCACGCCAGCUCUGAAGCCAAUUUCCGCCGCGGACUGUCCGGGGAGAGUUGGGCGACCAACAUUUUCGCGGACCGCAUUACUGCACCGGGCUUGGACUGGAAAUUGGAUGCGCCAGGGGGACCAGGGUCCGGGGCCAGAACGCCCCGAGGGGAACGCGCCUAAAAGACAGCUCGACUAGAGUGGGCUCGAGCCCCUUCCCAGACUGCUCCGGGGCGUCUGGAGACUGACCGGGGCGCAGGGGCGGGGGACACUUACUCCGUUAUCCGCACGCCUUUCUCGUUGGCAUCAGAGCCGGACAAACCCCAACCCGCGCCGGGCAAAGAUAAAUUACUCUUGGCUCCCCCAGCGGCUCGGGGGCCUGGGCGGGGGCGGAGCGGCGAGGAAGCCGUCGGGCCGCCUAAGGUAGGGGCGGUGGAGGUCCUGCUCCCGUCCUCAAGCGAACGAGCUCCUGCGGCCCGGACAGAGAGAUGCGUCUCGGGGAGACGACUGCUUGGGGAAGGGUGGUGCAACUAGUCGGCGUUAGAUGACUCGGGAGCUUAAUAGCUGGAUCUUCCCGUGCAGCAGCGCAGCGAGAGAAUGACUGCCCUGCUAAUCUAGUUUUUUAACAUAGAAAUCGACUUUAAACGACCGGGAGAACAAGGCGAAGGGGGAAAGGAAACGAAACGCCAAAGCAGCCACCGCCGCCUCCCCGCCCCUGCUGGAGGGGGGGUCGCGCUUCGGACCCGCCGCCUUUUCUAUCCGGAAACACCGCGCGAGGCGGAGUUGGUCGGUGCCAACUCCAAGCCCCGGGCCCAAGGUGGCGGCGAAGAACCCCGUGGCCUCGACUCGUCGUCACGGCCCCGUCACCCCUGAGCCCGGGUCACUGCCCGGGUCCCAAACCCGAGCCUCGGCGUCCUCUCCCGACAGCGCCACCGCGUGGGCUGCGGCCGAAACCUGCGCCGCCCGUUCAGUCGGCGGCUUCCGAGAACCGGCCCUUCCGCGUCGCCUCCAGUCUUCGGGUUAAAGAUGCUGCGGGGGAUGGGCAGGUGCCCAGCCUGGGGGACAAAGGGACCACCUAACACAAACACGCGCCCGGCAGGCAAAACAGAGGCGCCCUCCGUUUGUCCCAACCCCUCGUAAUGAAAAGCACACCUGGAAAGUCCAGGCCACGGCGCCCCACCUGCACCCAGACUCCAGGCAGGCCAGCCUGCGCCGUCCACUUCGCGCCACCCCUAGCAGGGCGAGCGAGCCCGGGAAGCCGGGGACGAGGUGGCCCAAGCCAGAGCGGUUCUGGGAGCGCUUCGCAGCUCUGGGCCGCCGCCGGUCUCGAACCGCGCCAGAGUGCGCGAGGACGCAUGCUGCGGGCCCAAGGUCCCGGUACCCGCUGGGACCGAAGACGAAGCGGGUGGCCGACUAUCCCGCAGUCCGAACCCGUCCGGAGUGGCGGGGAACCUAGAGGGCCUCCCGGGCCGGCGACUCGCCUGUUGUCUCGGUUUCGCGAAACCCCACGGACACCCUCUUAGUCUGUCAAAGCUUGACCCCCGGGCUAAGGCCCAGGCGGCUGUGACAGCGGCGUCUGGGGCUGGGCCCUUCCCCACCCCGCGCUGCCUUGCCUCCCGGCCCCGCGGCCAAGCCCGGCCCAGCCCCACAUCACCUCGCGCCGCCCGGAGCGAAGAGAGGACUAGAGAGCCCCACGUCGGGCUUAGAGGACUCCAGGGGGUAGGUAGGGGCUUACUGUAAAUAAACCCACUGGUCACACGCGCGCACACGUCCACACACAGUUCGGGACUGCCAGCUAUCGAAAGGGACAACGACCUAGAAAGGUGUCAAUUCACCUGGUGCCCACCCCAUUACGAAGCUCGCAGCCCCAACGAAACAGGAGCGAGCCCUGGACGCCCGAGCGCUCCCACGCGCGGCGCCCGGCGGCCCAGGCCCGGUGGCGCGGCGGCCGGUGGCUGUGCGGCGCUCGCCACGCGGGGCCUCUCCACCCACGCCCGCAUCGUGGGCUGCGACCUGUUCCCUUCCAGAUGCUCACACCCCUGGGCCACGCGGAGCUGUCUCCCGGCGUGCCGGGCCCGGCGCCCUGCCAGGCGGCUCACCUCGGCGGCCGCGCCUGCGGUUGCCCCCGGUGCCAAGCGGCCGGCCAGGGGCGGCGGGACAGAGCGCGGACGCUCCGCUCGCCUCCAGGAGCCUCCAGCCGUGCCCUCGGCGUCGCUCGGCCAGCCCUGGGCUGAUUUAAAUAACUAAUAAGCUCAGAGAAAUUUUACGAGGGGAACUUUUCCUUUUAGUAUCAAUAAAGCCUAGUAAUUGGGCUUGUUGGUUACCUAAGCUCGAGUUCCCAGUCUCUCUCGUUCCCUCUUCUCUCUCUCUCAUUCAGAGGCAACGUUUAAAAAAACCGGCAAAUGUGUGUGCGUUUGUGUGGGGAGUGUGAGUGUGAGUGUAUGAGAGAAGUUGUUUCAAAAGUCCUUCGCCUGGAGAACAGUCAUCAUUGUCGCUCUGCGGUGAAGAAUUUUGAAAGGUGAACUGUCGUUAUUUCAGAGGAUACAAAUGUUGACAAUUCAAGUCUCACAAUACAAGUAUAAUUCAAGACGAGGGGGAGUUCUAAAGAUUUUUCCCUUUGGAUGUGACAAAGGCAGUUGCAAUUCUUCCCUAAUAAUUUGCAUUUGAAUUAACUUUCACUACAUUUUGACUUCAACUCCUGGAUUGUAGUGCUAUCGGUUGUUUUCAGUAAAGACUUCUAUAUUAUAAUGCAUUCUAAAUUUUUGUUUUGCUUUUCUAAUUUUUUGAAAGCAUGUUCUUAGCAAUAAAGAAUUUUUUCCAUGUGGGAACCAUGCCUCAAUUUAAAAAUAUAAGACCUUCCAUGAAUAAUAACUGCCAAUAGUCAGUUCGGUAGUGUCCACAGUGCCAUUAGCGCCUAUACAAAAUCUCAGAAAUCUAAAGGCAACCUACGCAUGUUUCUCUCCAAUCAUAGCAAUAUAUAUUUUUUCAUUUC
Molecule: long non-coding RNA, 3033 nt
Organism: Equus caballus (horse)
Lineage: Eukaryota; Metazoa; Chordata; Mammalia; Perissodactyla; Equidae
Source: Ensembl